Molecule: long non-coding RNA, 793 nt
Filed under: Pogona vitticeps (central bearded dragon)
Lineage: Eukaryota; Metazoa; Chordata; Lepidosauria; Squamata; Agamidae
Description: lncRNA (ENSPVIG00000008769.1)
Source: RNAcentral
AUGAUUUGAAAGUAUUUCCAGAGGAGUCGCCAAGCAAGUAAACAGCUGGAUGAUCUCUAGUUGACUUAUUUCUUGUUUUUUGGUUCAUAAUACUUGAAGAAAGGAAAUGGCAUCUCCUGAAGCUGCGAAGAGGAGGAUCCUCCCAGCAUGGAUGGCAGAAAGGGCAGCCGAGCCAGCACAAGAGGCUGAAGCAAAGCCAAAGAGAAGGAAAAUGGCAGCUUUGCCCAGGCUUGAGACUGUUUACUGCAUGAAUGAAGCAGAGUUGGUAGACAUAGCUCUUUGUUUUUUGGCUGAGAACUGCAAAGAUAAGGAAAUGGAGGCAGCAUCCUCAGAAGAUGAGGUCCCAGCGACUCAGCAAGUACCGGUGAGUCACCAGCGGAGGGCAGAGAGUGGCAGCGACCGAACUCCAAGCCCCACUAUGGGGUCCAAGCCUCCAAAGGAGUGGUGUACGCUAAGUGGCAACAAGAAGGCUGAAUCAGAGGAGAAAGAUGACGAUGACGCUUUAAAAUAUGUCAGGGAGAUCUUCUUUACUUAACUUUGAAUCCUAGACAACAUCAGAAACCACUUCUAGAGACCAGGGUUGCUUUAAAGGGAAGGAGUCUCCCAGUCUGCUCCUGACCUUGCUCAUAUCACAUGGAGGAAUGGUAUGGUCAUCCCGUGACUUUGGGACAGUGAAAUUGCCUUCUAGAUUUGUUGAGAAUGUUUAUUUUCACUCAAAGGAAGAGAACCUUGGUUACUGAAGAACAGAUUGGCCCCAUCUUUGCUGUCCUUCCGCAAGCAGGCAAAGACCUUU